ACUACUGAUGUCACCAGAGCCACAAUCAAAGCCAGGAACCUGUAGACAAAAUGGUGUUUGUGCGUCCAGAGCAGACCGAGUCUAAGUGGGGAUGAAAUGGGGGUUGAAAAAAAUUCAGACAAAAAUACAAAUCAUCACAGUCUUUUUUUUUCCUGCUUUAUUGCAUAUGUAUAAAUGAAGUUCAAAAGGCAGAUGGGAAAAACAUUAGCCUCUCUAUUCACCAGGGUCCUCCCACCCUUUCUGUCUUGCUCUGUUAUCCACCCACAUGUACCGUCUGAGAAAAAAAAAAAGUGCAUGAGGUGACGCUCCUCCAAAGGAACAGAGAGAGGGGGGGUGUCUACAGGCUGCAUCUCAUCUGAAACAUUUGGAUGAGGGGGGAGACAGAGGAAGAGCCUGAAUGGUAGCUACACCCUGCGCCUGGAAGCGUAGAGAAAGAGAAAUAGAGAGGCACUGUUAAAAAAAGAAAAAAGAAAAAACAACAACAAAAAAGCUGGCAGUUAUUUUUCUUUUUUGGCAAUAACAAAGAGGUGGGAGAGAGAAAAUAGCACAUAUAAGAGGGGGACUUCUGCUUCAUUUCAUCCGAAAGACUCCAUCCCUGUGCCAUCAUCAGCAUGACCAUAAGCUCUAUAAGUAACAUCCGGCAAUAAUAACAACGGGUAUCAAUAGGAGGUUUCCAGCAACAGAUGCGCGCUAUUUCAUUUUGAUUGGAGAGAAAAAAACACCUAAAAAAGAUCAACUGAAUGCCUGCGAGAAACUGGACUCUGAAAGCAUAAGGCAGAGCGAUCAAACAGAGAAAUCUACAUUUUGAUUGAUCCUUUUUUUUUUUUUAAAGCUUGAUGUGCGUGUCUCUGCGCGCACUCGAAACGAACCUGAGCCAAAAGCAAACUCCUCAGACUCCUCCCUCCUCCUCCUCCCUUCGGUUUCUCGCAUCCUCUCCCUCCCCCCCGGUGCUCUAUGAUCAAUUCGGUGUGUGUAUCCUCUUUCAAAGGGCGCAAGGGUGGGAACAAGUCGUCCAACAAAGCAUGUUACAGCGCAGACAUGACUUGCCCGUCGGAAAGCGAGAAAAUCGUGAUAAACUGCGGGGGGGUGAGGCAUGAGACCUACCGGAGCACCCUGAAAACACUCCCGGGGACCCGCCUGUCGUGGCUCACCGAGCCGGACGCCUUCAGCAACUUCGACUACGACCCCAAAUUGGACGAGUUCUUCUUCGACCGCCACCCGUCCGUCUUCUCAUUCAUCCUUAACUACUACCGCACCGGAAAGUUGCACUGUCCCAACGAUGUGUGCGGUCCACUGUUCGAGGAGGAGCUGGCCUUCUGGGGCAUUGAUGAGACGGACGUGGAGGCGUGUUGCUGGAUGAACUACCGGCAGCACAGGGACGCGGAGGAGGCGCUGGACAGCUUCGAGACCCCGGAGCCGGACGCGCCGGACGACGACCCGGCUCUGGGUGGCGCGGACGGGGACUUGAAAAGACUGUGUCUGCAGGAGGACGCACGAAGAGCUGGUUUUUGGAAGACCUGGCAGCCCAGAAUAUGGGCUCUGUUCGAGGACCCGUAUUCUUCCAAAUAUGCCCGGUAUGUGGCAUUUAUUUCCCUCUUCUUCAUCCUCAUCUCCAUUUCGACAUUCUGCAUGGAGACGCACGAGGCCUUCAACACCAUCCUAAACAAGACAGAGAACGUCACGCAUGGCAACACAACCCGUGAGGAAAUAGUGUACGAAGUGGUGACUGACAGCUGGUUGACAUACGUUGAAGGUGUAUGUGUCAUUUGGUUUACAAUUGAGGUCUUGCUGCGAGUCAUCUUCUGUCCAGACAAGUUGGAAUUCUUCAAAAGUGCCCUCAACAUCAUCGACUUUGUUGCCAUCCUGCCCUUCUACUUGGAGGUUGGCUUGAGCGGUCUCUCCUCCAAAGCUGCCAAGGAUGUCUUGGGGUUCCUCCGCGUUGUCCGAUUCGUCCGUAUCCUUCGAAUCUUUAAGCUCACUCGUCACUUUGUGGGUCUCCGUGUCCUCGGCCACACCCUUCGUGCCAGUACCAAUGAAUUCCUCCUCCUCAUCAUCUUCCUGGCCCUUGGAGUCCUCAUCUUUGCCACUAUGAUCUACUAUGCUGAGCGAAUUGGGGCAGACCCAGAAGACCCUACUGCCAGUGCCCACACCAACUUCAAGAACAUCCCCAUUGGAUUUUGGUGGGCCGUGGUGACAAUGACCACAUUGGGUUAUGGUGAUAUGUAUCCGGAGACAUGGUCAGGAAUGCUGGUUGGUGCGCUCUGUGCCUUGGCUGGUGUGCUAACCAUUGCUAUGCCCGUACCUGUCAUUGUCAACAACUUCGGCAUGUACUAUUCUCUGGCUAUGGCCAAGCAAAAGCUGCCCAAAAAGAAGAACAAACAUAUCCCUCGUGCACCUCAGCCAGGUUCACCAAACUACUGCAAGCCGGACGCCCUAGCAAUGGCUACUGCAUCACCACAAAGGAUCUUGGGAAAUGUCUUAGGUGGAGUGAUGGGAUCUGGUGGUUUAGGGGGCGACUGUCCUCUUGCUCAAGAGGAAAUCAUAGAAAUCAAUAGAGAUUCUAAGCAGAACGGUGAUGCAGCCUCGGCUGCUUUGGCUAAUGAGGACUGCCCAACCAUUGAUCAGGUGCUGAGCCCCGACGAACGGAGUCCCAUUGGGCGGGGCCCCACUCGGGAACGUUACCAGCAGGACCGAGCUUGCUUCCUACUCAACACCAGGGAAUUCCGUGCCACAGAUGGGAAUGUGCGGAAAGAGGCAGCAGCCCUGGCUCCCAGCCCAGACUCCCCUCUGACUGAGGAUUGGUAUAAGAUGGAGGGGUCUCUGUUACAGCAGGACCUCAAUGCAAACUCCACCUCCUCCUGGAUCAAACCAUAGCCCAGAGGUUGUGUCAUAUCACGCGUGUGCCGCCACUGCAGUGCAAGUGUAACUAAAGUCUGACUCUAGUGUUAAGUUUCUAGCAUUCGCCUUCUCUGUUAGGAGGAGUCAGUAACUGGUAAACAUAAUUGCGGCGGGAGCCACAUAAGCAACAGGCUUUUCACGGAUGGACAGUUGAAAGGAGAUCUUUGAGGUGACGAGAGAGACCAGAGGGUAAUCACGAUAAAAAACAAAACAUAUAUAUAAAUAUAUAUCACAUGGUCUGCUCCUCACAUUGUUACCAAAGCAGCCUCUUGGAUCGCCGACCACAAUUUUUGACAACAGUUCACCUGCCCCUGACCCAGUUCUCCUCCCUAUACCCCCUUACCCUUUCCUUCAAGCUGACUGAGCAUUGCACUGACACACUUUUGGAGAAAAAAGGACUCCUGAUGACACAUUCCAGACAACAUCUCUCUGACAGUGUUAGAACGCCAUCCUGCUUAUAGACCAAAUCAGCACCGUCUGCAGUGCUGAAAAACUGAGCAAGUUUUCCAGUUAGCACUUGCUAUCACCUGGACUCACUGAACAAUGUAGCAUUUCUGCUAACACACUGUAGCAUCUGUUGGUUGGGAAAUACCUUGUCUAAAAACCAAUCUAUCCACAGUUCAUCGAGAGAGAAAAAUUAUGCAUUCAAGGGAUCUUCUAGAUGUCACUCUUGUAUUCCUUACCAGUGAAAAAGAAAAAAAGUCAUUUAGGGAGCACAUGAGAGACAAAGGAUUGGUCUUGUUCAAUGCACAAAUACCAGAAGAAUCAUAAAUGCAGUCUUUAAAAGCACACCCCGAUCGUCCCUUGUUAAAGUUUAGCACUUGUAUAGUCUUCCAUUAACUUCUAUUAGACUGAAGUACUGCCCUGCUCAUCAAACAGCACUAACUCUGAAGCUGAACAAUCAAAGCACAUGUAGCAUUACCUGAAACAAGUCAUAGAAAUCCAUUUUAUACUCGCCCAAAAAAGUCUUUAUCACUAAAUAGUGUGAAAAGACUUAUCCUUAUCUCUUAUGUACUGGUGUGGGCUUGCACGGAAAUCUAUGUUGAGUACCAAAGGUCUUUUAGCAUGCACUUGCUGAAUGACCCUCUGUAAUGUCAAGUAGAUUAGUAAAGGUAUUUGAUAUAAGGUGAGGCUGCUACUCUCUCUCAUACUAAUCAUCGUCUUUUGGUCCUUUUACUGCCAGUAGCUUCCGGUGCCUCACUGCACAUGAAGGAAAUGUCCCCAUACAUUGGUGACACAGACAUGAGAAGUAAAUAGACUGACUCAAAGAGUCAAACCCUGUUAGGUUAUUGACCUGCCCUGCCUAAAUUACAGCGUUGUUGUGAAGGGGACCAAUGUGAUUACAAUUUCCCCAACACUGCCGUUUAGGCACAAGACUCCUCUGAUGCAUACUGCCCUGCCUCUCUCUUGUCCCUCUUGCUGCCAACAAGUGCUUCACUGGCAACACAAUGUCACGGUGAAGUUCAGGAGGGAGGAGUCCUUUUCGACCAAAAGGAGAUAUUCAGUGAAACAGACCAAGUGCAGAGCAAACGUGGACAUGUACAAAGAGAACAAAUCUAUAUUUUGAUAAACAAAUCUACGACGCUCCAUGGCUUUGGAGAGGGUUUCCUGUCCGGGAAGAGUCCAGUGAGAGAGAAGAUAGAAAAAAAAAAAGAGUCAAGGUCUCAUACAAGCUGGAAAAGAGAAUUGCUGGUAGAAAAGAUGCAAGAAAAGAAGCUUCAUGCUGGGGUGUGCAACAUAAUUUACCCCACAGGGUUUGGAAAAAAAGCUUUUUUGAAAGAACCUAAGCAGAGACUGACUCUUGCCUAUUCAUACAUGAAAAAGGAAAAAGGAUGAACAAUAAGAACAAUGGGAAAAAAAAUGCAUUUUUGUAACUUUGUUUACCAGCAUGACUACUUUGCAUGACUGUCUUUUCUGCAAGCCCUUAGUUGAAGACAAGGGUGCUAGAGAUACAAAAAAGUAUAUAUAAAGUAAAUUUAAAAAAUGUUAUAUGCAAUUAAUGUUUUAAAAAAAGAUUAUAAUUAAAGAGAAGAGCUAUAUUUUCUUUUGAAAAGUAAAAAAAAAUGUGAAUAUUGAAACAUGUAUGUUUGCAAAGUACACCCUGAAGUAUGUUUUGUUUGAUGAAAUCUCUCUGCUACUACUGCCCUACACUCUUCAUUCCAGUGUUUAUGACCGCUGCCAUAGUUUUUAUUUUGAAAUGCGUUUAGCAGCAUACUUUCUAAGCAGUCGAUCGGCCUACUUUGCCCGUAGCAUCUGAGCAAAGUGUGCUAGUUGUUGUCAGUCACAAAUUCCAUGUUUCCUCCUCCACUUAUUUGCACAUCCUCCGUAGCAAAAGCAGCACCCGUCCAGAAACAGCAGUUAUCCAUGUCACAGUUGUGAAAGCUUGAUUAGCAAUCAUAGUUUGUUUGUUUUCUUUGGCAAUAAGGCAAGAGUUGUCACGACUGUAGCAGAUCAAAAUGGAGUCCUUUGACAUACCUUCAUAGCUUUGGAGUUAAAGACAUUCUUGAGAGCCUUGGAUGCCUCAUUUGCAGAGAUAGCUGUCUGGCCCUCUGCAGAAGAACAGGAAGACCAAUAAGACGAUAAAAGAUGCAAUACGGCAAGGAGUCAGAGAUUUUAAGUUUGCAUGGUACUAACUGAUUUUCCAAGGUUAGAGAGUGGGCUUAGGGACUCAGGUGUGCUGAUAGUGUGUGUGGAUGUAGGUCUUUUGCUAUUUUCUUUCUAACAUAAUAAAUUCUACUAUAUAGAAACAUAAUGUGAACACCUCACAGUGAUGUGUUAAAGAUAAAAAAAAACAAAAACAAGAAAAAACAAACAAAAAAAGCAUGCAUUAUGACUUGAUAAUCUCUCAAGGGGGAACAGAGUCUUGCCAUUUCCCCUCAGCCUUUUGUCAUGGUUCCUGUCAUGAUUCCAGUCCUGAUAACUUUAUAAACACUGUGCCGUGUUGUAGAACAGCAAAGUCUUCCUCUGAGAGGCAACUGAAAACUACUCACACUCACAGUGUCAGCAUGAGUGUGUAUAGGUAGCUUGUCUUCAUUUAUUUUUUUUUUAAAGAACAGGUCAUAGCAUCUGUCGUUACCGUAUGGUGGAGUACUUGUCAUCUCACUGGCUAGCUCAUCGCAUCGCACAACGCAGUCAUGCAAGCACCAAUCAAAAAGACCCAGAGCUUCCAAAAUGAUGUCAGAAGGGGAGACAGAAAGGGUAAGAGUUAGCUGUGUCCACCUGGGGGAGGCUGAUGACAAUAAAAAUAAUGAAGUUGAAGGAAGACGGGGGAUCUGAGUGUUGAGGGGUCUUUGAGAACCUCUCCUUUCGUUUUGAUUUCCAAGUGAGUUUCAGGCCCCGCUGGUCCGGGGUUUAGCUCAGGCAGCUGAAUGGUCCUCGGCCCAUUUCUUGAACAGUUCAGUUGGAAACCCACCAGAACAUGUUGUGAUGUAGACUACAGAGAGCGUUCAACAGUUCUGAUGAGUCUGCGCAGGUUUUACAGGGUCAAGAGCUUUCUCUAUUUACAAAAAAAAAAAAAAUGUUUCAGAGUACAUCCCUUUUAAAACAUGUUCAGUUUCCCUUUGGGAAGGUUCUCAUAGCUUGGAUGGCCACAGAGGUUUUUCAGAGGCGGCGUGCAAACCGGCAAAAGAAAACUUUGUGCUUCACCCAACUCUUUGUGAAAAAAUUUUUGUUUUUUUUUCCGACCAGGUGGUAUUUUAAUUUUAUGCCACUGCUCUCCAGUGUUAGUUAGGUUUGCCAUAUCUUUGUUUUCCACAUUGGGAAUAUGUCUGCCAGUGGUACCCUGAAAAAAGAUGUCUUUUUUUUUCCAAAUGCAUAAUACUGCCAUUUAAUUUAAACUCAGUGAAUAGAAUGGAUUACAAUGUUGAUUGUGCUAAGUCUGUUUUAUUUUUAAAGGUUCUUUCUGUUAGAAAAUACAAAAAAGGUCCUUAUCAAAAGAACAGAAAUGCUUUACACAAUAUUUCAAGGCUACUUUGUGUUUGUGUGUUAGCCAGAUAUAUCCUCUGCAGAUAUUUAGAGGAUGUCACAUGGUCCUUGCACAACAUAUCCUUUAUGGCAUCCUGUUUAGUUUACUUGCAUGUUUUUUUUUCUCUCUUCUGAAAUGUUUUCACCAUGUCUAUUUUUGUUUGAGGACACUGUAUGCAAUCCACACCAUGAAUGCCACUGAUUGACACUUACUGUAUGCUCCCUGAGACACAGAUGUACUGUCAUCAGUCUAGAUGUUUUCAGAUACCUAUGGAGUGGCGCUGUGGCUUUCCAUAGUUUAACAUAGCAAUCACAUAUAUCUAAAAAAAAAAAUAUUUUAAAAUUGAUAAGAAAAGAGUUAUCUUAGAGCAAAUUCUAUCACAUUAUAUAUAGUUUUUUGAUAUAUUAAAUGUUAUUUUAAUUAGAAAAUAUGACAACAGCCAAACCUCUUAAAGACGUCUAAUUUAACGCAUCGUACACCCACAUAAGCAUCCCAAAGAUUCAUUUUACAUACUAUUAUUGUGUAAAACAGACUUAGGUACUGGUCCAUUGUACUGUGGUCUUGAACGGAGCGUAAUGGGGACAAGAGGUGGUCACUAGAACGCCAGGUUAUAACUUAUGCCGGAUUUCAUUUUUGAAAUGUUGGGGCAUGAAGAACAACUCAUCAAGAACUGUAAAAAGUAUAUUUCAAUGGAAUGUUCAUGAUCUAUCUUUUUAUAUUUUGAAGAGUAAAAAAAAAUAGAAACAUAUCAAUAAAGUGUCAUAAUUGAACAUAUUUCUACUAUUGAGACUUAAAAUGUAUGAAUGUCAAUGCGAUCUAAUGUGAACCAACCUGCAUUGCAGCUUGAAUGAAUAAGUCAUGAGAUGCUUUUUCAGAGACAAUGAAAUUGCUUAAAAAUAACUGAGAUCGACCUAAAAUAAAUGAAAAAGUAAUCUCAGUUGUGUGUCAGUUUGUUGAAGUUGACUUAUUCCAAACAAAAUAAGUAUGCUGUCAUGGAUACUGACUGGGAAGGCUGUGACAUUGUGAAGCGACUAUUACAGUUAACUUUGUUUAGCAAUCUGACAGCAGUAGGGAGACCACUGAGCACUGA
This is an RNA transcript of Cyprinodon variegatus (sheepshead minnow), 7952 nucleotides long. It is a transcript of the gene named potassium voltage-gated channel subfamily C member 1-like, with no coding region annotated. The record is from RefSeq and is a predicted model, not a curated record. Lineage: Eukaryota; Metazoa; Chordata; Actinopteri; Cyprinodontiformes; Cyprinodontidae. The transcript is spliced from 8 exons.